CCCUUAGAUGUUCUGGGCCGCACGCGCGCUACACUGAUGCAUUCAACGAGCCUAUCCUUGACCGACAGGUCCGGGUAAUCUUUGAAUCUGCAUCGUGACGGGGAUAGAUUAUUGCAAGUAUUAAUCUUCAACGAGGAAUGCCUAGUAGGCGCAAGUCAUCAGCUUGCGUCGAUUACGUCCCUGCCCUUUGUACACACCGCCCGUCGCUCCUACCGAUUGGGUGUGCUGGUGAAAUGUUCGGAUCGGCCGUUUGUCGCGGUUUCCGCGGCUCGUGGCUGAGAAGUUCAUUAAACCCUCCCACCUAGAGGAAGGAGAAGUCGUAACA
RNAcentral lists this ribosomal RNA (325 nucleotides) under uncultured eukaryote. RNAcentral describes it as "partial 18S ribosomal RNA". It matches the Rfam family "Eukaryotic small subunit ribosomal RNA", at positions 1470 to 1796 of the family's 1831-position model. The record is from RNAcentral.